AUAACUGCAGCACAGCGUCUAUGCUUGGAGUGCACCAAUCGAUUGAUGAAGGCCAUUGGCACCUUGAACCACACUCUGAGAAAAGACUGGAGCAAUAAAUCGGCUGUGUUCUGCCUUGGUAUGACC
Molecule: long non-coding RNA, 126 nt
Organism: Haliotis rubra (blacklip abalone)
Lineage: Eukaryota; Metazoa; Mollusca; Gastropoda; Lepetellida; Haliotidae
Exons: 4
Source: RefSeq, a predicted model, not a curated record